UGCAGUCGAGCGCGCCUUCGGGCGAGCGGCGGACGGGUUAAUAACGCGUGGGAACGUGCCCUUCACUACGGAAUAGCCUCGGGAAACCGGGAGUAAUACCGUAUACGCCCUUCGGGGGAAAGUUUUUCGGUGAAGGAUCGGCCCGCGUUGGAUUAGGUAGUUGGUGGGGUAACGGCCUACCAAGCCGACGAUCCAUAGCUGGUUUGAGAGGACGAUCAGCAACACUGGGACUGAGACACGGCCCAGACUCCUACGGGAGGCAGCAGUGGGGAAUCUUAGACAAUGGGGGAAACCCUGAUCUAGCCAUGCCGCGUGAGUGAAGAAGGCCCUAGGGUCGUAAAGCUCUUUCGCCAGGGAUGAUAAUGACAGUACCUGGUAAAGAAACCCCGGCUAACUCCGUGCCAGCAGCCGCGGUAAUACGGAGGGGGUUAGCGUUGUUCGGAAUCACUGGGCGUAAAGCGCGCGUAGGCGGAUUAUUAAGUCAGGGGUGAAAUCCCGGGGCUCAACCCCGGAACUGCCCUUGAUACUGGUAGUCUUGAGUUCGAGAGAGGUGAGUGGAAUUCCGAGUGUAGAGGUGAAAUUCGUAGAUAUUCGGAGGAACACCAGCGGCGAAGGCGGCUCACUGGCUCGAAACUGACGCUGAGGCGCGAAAGUGUGGGGAGCAAACAGGAUUAGAUACCCUGGUAGUCCACACCGUAAACGAUGAAUGCCAGACGUCGGAGGGCUUGCCCUUCGGUGUUGCACCUAACGGAUUAGGCAUUCCGCCUGGGGAGUACGGUCGCAAGACUAAAACUCAAAGGAAUUGAC
Molecule: ribosomal RNA, 807 nt
Filed under: uncultured bacterium
Lineage: Bacteria
Description: bacterial SSU rRNA
Rfam family: Bacterial small subunit ribosomal RNA
Source: RNAcentral